UACAGAGGCCCCGAGCGUUAGGCGGAAUCACUGGGCUUAAAGCGUGUGUAGGCGGACUUCUAAGUACCUUGUGAAAUCCCACGGCUCACCCGUGGAACUGCUUGGUAUACUGGUUGUCUUGAGCCUUCUAGGGGCGAGUGGAACAAAUGGUGGAGCGGUGAAAUGCGUAGAUAUCAUUUGGAACGCCAAUGGUGAAAACAACUCGCUGGGGAAGUGCUGACGCUGAGACACGAAAGCCAGGGGAGCGAACGGG
Molecule: ribosomal RNA, 253 nt
Filed under: uncultured bacterium
Lineage: Bacteria
Description: partial 16S ribosomal RNA
Rfam family: Bacterial small subunit ribosomal RNA
Source: RNAcentral